Molecule: transfer RNA, 53 nt
Filed under: Cheiracanthium brevispinum
Lineage: Eukaryota; Metazoa; Arthropoda; Arachnida; Araneae; Cheiracanthiidae
Description: tRNA-His
Source: RNAcentral
AAUUUAAUAGUUUAUUAAAACAAUAGUUUGUGGAACUAUAAUAAUCAAAAUUA